This 520-nucleotide unclassified non-coding RNA is filed under the name uncultured Glomus. RNAcentral describes it as "SSU rRNA". It matches the Rfam family "Eukaryotic small subunit ribosomal RNA", at positions 569 to 1091 of the family's 1831-position model. The record is from RNAcentral. Lineage: Eukaryota; Fungi; Glomeromycota; Glomeromycetes; Glomerales; Glomeraceae.
AGCAGCCGCGGUAAUUCCAGCUCCAAUAGCGUAUAUUAAAGUUGCUGCAGUUAAAAAGCUCGUAGUUGAAUUUCGGGACUAAUAUGUCGGUCGUGCCUCGGUACGUACUGGUUUAUUGGUUUCUCCUUUCUGAAGAACCAUGAUGUCAUUUAUUUGGUGUCGUGGGGAAUCAGGACUGUUACUUUGAAAAAAUUAGAGUGUUUAAAGCAGGCUCACGCUUGAAUACAUUAGCAUGGAAUAAUGAAAUAGGACGUUUGAUUCUAUUUUGUUGGUUUCUAGGAUCGACGUAAUGAUUAAUAGGGAUAGUUGGGGGCAUUAGUAUUCAAUUGUCAGAGGUGAAAUUCUUGGAUUUAUUGAAGACUAACUACUGCGAAAGCAUUUGCCAAGGAUGUUUUCAUUAAUCAAGAACGAAAGUUAGGGGAUCGAAGACGAUCAGAUACCGUCGUAGUCUUAACCAUAAACUAUGCCGACUAGGGAUCGGAUGAUGUUAAAUUUUUUAAUGACUCAUUCGGCGCCUUAC